ACGCACGCUGGCGGCGUGCCUAAUACCUGCACGUCGCGCGAAGUUUUUCUGGUGCUUGCACCGGAAAAACUUAGCGGCGAACGGGUGAGUAACACGUAAAGAACCUGCCUCAUAGACUGGGACAACUAUUGGAAACGAUAGCUAAUACCGGAUAAUAGCAUUAACUGCAUGGUUGAUGUUUAAAAGUUGGUUUUGCUAACACUAUGAGAUGGCUUUGCGGUGCAUUAGCUAGUUGGUGGGGUAAAGGCCUACCAAGGCGACGAUGCAUAGCCGACCUGAGAGGGUGAUCGGCCACACUGGGACUGAGACACGGCCCAGACUCCUACGGGAGGCAGCAGUAGGGAAUCUUCCGCAAUGGGCGAAAGCCUGACGGAGCAACGCCGCGUGAGUGAAGAAGGAUUUCGGUUCGUAAAGCUCUGUUGUUAGGGAAGAAUGAUUGUGUAGUAACUAUACACAGUAGAGACGGUACCUAACCAGAAAGCCACGGCUAACUACGUG
This 498-nucleotide ribosomal RNA is filed under the name uncultured bacterium. RNAcentral's name for it is "partial 16S ribosomal RNA". It matches the Rfam family "Bacterial small subunit ribosomal RNA", at positions 29 to 507 of the family's 1533-position model. The record is from RNAcentral.